RNAcentral lists this ribosomal RNA (808 nucleotides) under uncultured bacterium. RNAcentral's name for it is "bacterial SSU rRNA". It matches the Rfam family "Bacterial small subunit ribosomal RNA", at positions 59 to 868 of the family's 1533-position model. The record is from RNAcentral.
CAGUCGAGCGAACACUUAAGUCUGAUUCUUCGGAUGAAGACUUUUGUGACUGAGCGGCGGACGGGUGAGUAACGCGUGGGUAACCUGCCUCAUACAGGGGGAUAACAGUUAGAAAUGACUGCUAAUACCGCAUAAGACCACGGUACCGCAUGGUACAGUGGUAAAAACUCCGGUGGUAUGAGAUGGACCCGCGUCUGAUUAGGUAGUUGGUGGGGUAACGGCCUACCAAGCCGACGAUCAGUAGCCGACCUGAGAGGGUGACCGGCCACAUUGGGACUGAGACACGGCCCAGACCCCUACGGGAGGCAGCAGUGGGGAAUAUUGCACAAUGGAGGAAACUCUGAUGCAGCGACGCCGCGUGAAGGAUGAAGUAUUUCGGUAUGUAAACUUCUAUCAGCAGGGAAGAAAAUGACGGUACCUGACUAAGAAGCCCCGGCUAACUACGUGCCAGCAGCCGCGGUAAUACGUAGGGGGCAAGCGUUAUCCGGAUUUACUGGGUGUAAAGGGAGCGUAGACGGCACGGCAAGCCAGAUGUGAAAGCCCGGGGCUCAACCCCGGGACUGCAUUUGGAACUGCUGAGCUAGAGUGUCGGAGAGGCAAGUGGAAUUCCUAGUGUAGCGGUGAAAUGCGUAGAUAUUAGGAGGAACACCAGUGGCGAAGGCGGCUUGCUGGACGAUGACUGACGUUGAGGCUCGAAAGCGUGGGGAGCAAACAGGAUUAGAUACCCUGGUAGUCCACGCCGUANACGAUGACUGCUAGGUGUCGGGUGGNAAAGCCAUUCGGUGCCGCAGCUAACGCAAUAAGCAGU